GCAGGAGAGAGACAUGUGUUGUGCUGUUGAACUGACGAAUGUGUUUUGCAUGUGUUACAGGUGCUGAGCUUUCUGUUCCUCAUACCAUCGGCCACUUGCCGUCCUCCCCCAAGACACGCGACAAGCUCAUCAAGUCGAUCUCGGGUUGGCGGACGACUCCCCUCUCCCGGCGUUAUUCUGGCGGUGGCCGCUGCGCCUCCUCACCGUGGUCCGGCACUGAUCUGGCCGUCGGGGAGUGAUGGGUCUAAUUGCUAAUAACGCCUAACCUUUCCCCAGCCUUGCAGGGCAUUCAUCAGAGGAGGGGCGUCUG
This is a long non-coding RNA of Clupea harengus (Atlantic herring), 310 nucleotides long. The record is from Ensembl. Lineage: Eukaryota; Metazoa; Chordata; Actinopteri; Clupeiformes; Clupeidae.